RNAcentral lists this ribosomal RNA (492 nucleotides) under uncultured bacterium. RNAcentral's name for it is "partial 16S ribosomal RNA". It matches the Rfam family "Bacterial small subunit ribosomal RNA", at positions 29 to 507 of the family's 1533-position model. The record is from RNAcentral.
AGUGAACGCUGGCGGUAGGCCUAACACAUGCAAGUCGAACGGCAGCACAGUAAGAGCUUGCUCUUACGGGUGGCGAGUGGCGGACGGGUGAGGAAUACAUCGGAAUCUACUUUUUCGUGGGGGAUAACGUAGGGAAACCUACGCUAAUACCGCAUACGACCUACGGGUGAAAGCAGGGGAUCUUCUGACCUUGCGCGAUUGAAUGAGCCGAUGUCGGAUUAGCUAGUUGGCGGGGUAAAGGCCCACCAAGGCGACGAUCCGUAGCUGGUCUGAGAGGAUGAUCAGCCACACUGGAACUGAGACACGGUCCAGACUCCUACGGGAGGCAGCAGUGGGGAAUAUUGGACAAUGGGCGCAAGCCUGAUCCAGCCAUACCGCGUGGGUGAAGAAGGCCUUCGGGUUGUAAAGCCCUUUUGUUGGGAAAGAAAAGCAGCAGGUUAAUACCCCGCUGUUCUGACGGUACCCAAAGAAUAAGCACCGGCUAACUUCGUG